RNAcentral lists this long non-coding RNA (215 nucleotides) under Lathyrus oleraceus (garden pea). Its description in RNAcentral is "Pisum sativum (pea) long non-coding RNA (PSAT_LNC016146)". The record is from RNAcentral. Lineage: Eukaryota; Viridiplantae; Streptophyta; Magnoliopsida; Fabales; Fabaceae.
AACCCUGCAGAAGCUCUCCGACUUCGUUCAAUUUUCUUCUUCCAGCCGUGCAAGCAUACCAUUAUUUUUCUUUACUGUUUUUGCUUUUAAUUGCAGUUUUUAUUUUUUAUUUUUAUUUUCUUUUCCAGUUAAGCUUUCAGCACUUAAUUAAUUAUUUUUCGCAUAAUAGUUUCUACAGCGGAAACUAUUGUGUAUCUUUUACUAGAUCUAACCUU